UUCCUGGCACUCGAUCUGGGCGGAACCAACUUCCGAGUGCUCCUGGUCAAAGUUAUGGCUGAUGGCAAGCAAGCGGUGGAGAUGGAAGAUCAGAUAUAUGCCAUUCCUGAACACCUCAUGAGAGGCUGCGGAUCUGAGUUAUUUGACCACAUAGCUGAUUGUCUGGCUAACUUCCUGGAGAAGUUGGGUAUAAA
This is a long non-coding RNA of Etheostoma spectabile (orangethroat darter), 194 nucleotides long. RefSeq lists it as uncharacterized. The record is from RefSeq and is a predicted model, not a curated record. Lineage: Eukaryota; Metazoa; Chordata; Actinopteri; Perciformes; Percidae. The transcript is spliced from 2 exons.